UUUUGAAUAUUUUAAGAAUAAAGAAAUAUAAAUUGUAAAUUUAUAAGUAAAAAGUUAAAGAAAUUUUUUUUCAAAAA
This 77-nucleotide transfer RNA is filed under the name Bipalium admarginatum. RNAcentral's name for it is "tRNA-Tyr". Lineage: Eukaryota; Metazoa; Platyhelminthes; Tricladida; Geoplanidae. The record is from RNAcentral.